Molecule: ribosomal RNA, 119 nt
Filed under: Olea europaea subsp. europaea
Lineage: Eukaryota; Viridiplantae; Streptophyta; Magnoliopsida; Lamiales; Oleaceae
Source: RNAcentral
GGGUGCGACCAUACUAGCAUUAACGCACCGGAUCCCAUCCGAAAUCCGAAGUUAAGCGUGCUUGGGUGAGAGUAGUACUAGGAUGGGUGACCUGUUGGGACGUCCUCGUGUUGCACCCC